This 103-nucleotide small nuclear RNA is filed under the name Haemaphysalis longicornis (longhorned tick). Lineage: Eukaryota; Metazoa; Arthropoda; Arachnida; Ixodida; Ixodidae. The record is from RNAcentral.
GUACUUAGAAAGCACUUAUAGUAAAAUUAGAACGAUACAGAGAAGAUUAGCAUGGCCCCUGCGCAAGGAUGACACGCAAAAUUGUGAAGCUUUCCACAUUUUU